This 492-nucleotide ribosomal RNA is filed under the name uncultured bacterium. RNAcentral's name for it is "partial 16S ribosomal RNA". It matches the Rfam family "Bacterial small subunit ribosomal RNA", at positions 29 to 507 of the family's 1533-position model. The record is from RNAcentral.
AGUGAACGCUGGCGGUAGGCCUAACACAUGCAAGUCGAACGGCAGCACAGUAAGAGCUUGCUCUUACGGGUGGCGAGUGGCGGACGGGUGAGGAAUACAUCGGAAUCUACUUUUUCGUGGGGGAUAACGUAGGGAAACUUACGCUAAUACCGCAUACGACCUACGGGUGAAAGCAGGGGAUCUUCGGACCUUGCGCGAUUGAAUGAGCCGAUGUCGGAUUAGCUAGUUGGCGGGGUAAAGGCCCACCAAGGCGAUGAUCCGUAGCUGGUCUGAGAGGAUGAUCAGCCACACUGGAACUGAGACACGGUCCAGACUCCUACGGGAGGCAGCAGUGGGAAAUAUUGGACAAUGGGCGCAAGCCUGAUCCAGCCAUACCGCGUGGGUGAAGAAGGCCUUCGGGUUGUAAAGCCCUUUUGUUGGGAAAGAAAAGCAGCAGGUUAAUACCCCGCUGUUCUGACGGUACCCAAAGAAUAAGCACCGGCUAACUUCGUG